RNAcentral lists this ribosomal RNA (636 nucleotides) under uncultured bacterium. RNAcentral describes it as "bacterial SSU rRNA". It matches the Rfam family "Bacterial small subunit ribosomal RNA", at positions 847 to 1482 of the family's 1533-position model. The record is from RNAcentral.
CGCAGCUAACGCACUAAGUUGACCGCCUGGGGAGUACGGCCGCAAGGUUAAAACUCAAAUGAAUUGACGGGGGCCCGCACAAGCGGUGGAGCAUGUGGUUUAAUUCGACGCAACGCGAAGAACCUUACCUGGCCUUGACAUCCAGAGAACUUUCCAGAGAUGGAUUGGUGCCUUCGGGAACUCUGUGACAGGUGCUGCAUGGCCGUCGUCAGCUCGUGUCGUGAGAUGUUGGGUUAAGUCCCGUAACGAGCGCAACCCCUAUCCCUGGUUGCUAGCAGGUAAUGCUGAGAACUCCAGGGAGACUGCCGGUGACAAACCGGAGGAAGGUGGGGAUGACGUCAGGUCAUCAUGGCCCUUACGGCCAGGGCUACACACGUGCUACAAUGGCGCGUACAGAGGGCUGCGAACUCGCGAGAGUAAGCCAAUCCCUUAAAACGCGUCGUAGUCCGGAUCGGAGUCUGCAACUCGACUCCGUGAAGUCGGAAUCGCUAGUAAUCGCGAAUCAGAAUGUCGCGGUGAAUACGUUCCCGGGCCUUGUACACACCGCCCGUCACACCAUGGGAGUGGAUUGCACCAGAAGUGGUUAGUCUAACCUUCGGGAGGACGAUCACCACGGUGUGGUUCAUGACUGGGGUG